ACCAUCAUGGCCCCCUUGACUCGAUUUACCAAGAUCUGGAGAAUGAGGAAUAAUGGUAACCUUGUCUGGCCUCAAGGAACUCAACUUGUUUGGAUUGGGGGAGAUAGGUUAAGUGAUAGAUUCUCAGUUGAAUUAGAGGUGAGAAGUUCUAAGAAAAAUCAGUUUCUUGUGCUUGUUAUUCCUGCUUGGUGACAGCUAUUAAGUUUCUGGAGAGUUUUCAUGACAUGAUGUCAUAUGCAUUGCAGAUAGCUACAGCUGGCUUGGCUGUUGAUAACGAGCUUGAUGUGGCAGUUGAUUUUACUGCUCCUGAGCAUCCUGGUAGGUACAUAUCCUACUGGAGGAUGGCUUCGUCCUCAGGUCAGAAAUUUGGCCAGCGUGUCUGGGUGCUUAUCCAGGUCAGAAUGGUUUGCUUGCCUCGGUGUUCCUGAUGAUAUGAUGUUUGUCUAAUUUUGACGUGAAGAAUGUUCCCUCCUUGUGCAUGCAGGUCGAUGCUUCAUCAAACCUUCCAAAAAAGGAGUUGGUCCACGAAGCCUUUCAUGGGUUAAACUUGAAUUUACCUCCUGCCGGCGAUGACGCAGCUGGAUCUGACAUUAUCAAUGUGAAUCCAGAACCAAGGAAUGUCCUUCCGGAACUUAAGAGUUCUAGCACAGCGAUAGAGUUGGUUGAUUCAGUGGCUGAUGUAAACCAAAACAAGGAGCAAGAGGCCAUAUUUCCUACUAAUGAUAGCUUGUUGGUUGGGUUUGGUGACAAGUCAAGUUCUUCUGCUCCCGGUUCUUCAAUUUCAUAUCCAAUUAUUGAUUUGUCCGAGGAAGCACCAGCAGUUACUUGUGUGGUACCACCCGCUGCCGUAGAUACGCAGGCACCCCCCCAGGGUGUUAGAGGGAAUAGCGAAAUUGAGGUGUCCCUCCUCCGUGAGCUGGAGGAAAUGGGGUUCAAGCAGGUGGAUUUGAACAAGGAAAUCUUGAGGAAGAAUGAGUAUGACCUGGAGCAGUCUGUUGAUGAUCUCUGCGGUGUUGCUGAGUGGGAUCCUAUCCUCGAAGAGCUGGAGGAGAUGGUAGGUUAAUUUUAGAGGUCAAAGAAAAACUGGAAGUUUCCACUUCUCUUUUCACUCUUCUGUUGCUUGUGCAAGAGUUAUUCCAGGUUGACUAUGGGUACUUUUGUGAAUGCAGGGUUUCUCCGACAAAGAAAUGAACAAGAAGCUGCUUAAGAAGAACAAUGGAAGCAUCAAGCGUGUUGUCAUGGAUCUUAUUGCUGGAGAGCAGUAGGAGAGAUUUACUGUUUGUCCUACCUGGUGAAUGAAUAGUUUGGGUUAUGAAUAAUUUGCGGGAUGCAACAACAUGCUUUUGGUGUUCAUGAAAUGGGGUUCAAGCAGGUGGAUUUGAACAAGGAAAUCUUGAGGAAGAAUGAGUAUAACCUGGAGCAGUCUGUUGAUGAUCUCUGCGGUGUUGCUGAGUGGGAUCCUAUCCUCGAAGAGCUGGAGGAGAUGGUAGGUUAAUUUUAGAGGUCAAAGAAAAACUGGAAGUUUCAACUUCUCUAUUCACUCUUCUGUUGCUUGUGCAAGAAUUGUUCCAGGUUGACUAUGGUUUUUUUUUGUGAAUGCAGGGUUUCUCCGACAAAGAAAUGAACAAGAAGCUGCUUAAGAAGAACAACGGAAGCAUCAAACGUGUUGUCAUGGAUCUUAUUGCUGGAGAGCAGUAGGAGAGAUUUACUGUUUGUCCUACCUGGUGAUGGAUAGUUUGGGUUCUGAAUAAUUUGUGGGAUGCAACAAACAUGCUUUUGGUUACUUUUUGUCAGGUACAGUGGUUCGACAAACUCUUUUUAAGUUGUUACUUGAACUCGUUGUGUAAUAUAUAUGCUAUGGUAGUGGUCGUAUCUCGAAACACCUGAUAUUUAGUGCUUAAUGCAUAUGAAUGUAUUUCUUGGUAAUAGCAAGGGGCCAGAGAAAUUUAUCGUGCGCGAUGGGAGGUAAACAUUAAAAAAAUAUUAAUUAAAUUAAAUUAUGAUUGAACUUGUUGAUCCUGGUAGAUGGAAUUACUUUAAUAAAUUUAAAUUGUCAUUUUAUUUGUCAAAACGAUAUACCUAACA
This 2085-nucleotide long non-coding RNA is filed under the name Nicotiana benthamiana. RNAcentral's name for it is "long non-coding RNA (NBEN_LNC023469)". Lineage: Eukaryota; Viridiplantae; Streptophyta; Magnoliopsida; Solanales; Solanaceae. The record is from RNAcentral.